This is a long non-coding RNA of Lotus japonicus, 764 nucleotides long. RefSeq lists it as uncharacterized. The transcript is spliced from 4 exons. Lineage: Eukaryota; Viridiplantae; Streptophyta; Magnoliopsida; Fabales; Fabaceae. The record is from RefSeq and is a predicted model, not a curated record.
AGGCUAGGCUGUUGUUGGUUUUCCUCUGAUUCAAGACUCUGUUUGUUACUUUCCUCAACUCUCUCACUCUCUCAUGUUGAAAUCCCUCAUUUUACUCAUCAAUUUCACUUUCCCGAAUCAAAUCCCUGAAUCAUCACUCAAAAAUGGGGAUUUCGUGAUUAGGGUUCAAACAUAUUCUCAAUGGUUCCGUCGAUCAGGAGUUUAUAUUAUUUCAAUGUUUCUGAUGAGAUCUACGGAGGGUGCUAUUACAAGGGGACACAUGGAGUUGUUGUUAUUGAUAGAGAUUUAUACCCAAUUCCAAUUGAUACUAUGAAAAUAGAGGUGAAGGCAAGUGAGUAAUAGCUUGUGUUAAUCGAGCUUCAUGAUCAAUGAGAUUAGACUGCAAAAAGAAUUAAAGUCAAGGUAUCUCUCAAUAUGCAAAUGAAUUAGCUACCUCUCGUGUAUGGAAUAGAGGACACGGCUCUUACUCUUAAGACGGCUCUGUUAGGUGGCAAUGUCACACAAGAGGUCUAAAGAAGAUUGAUAGUUUCAACCAAUGAAUGAGUUAAGAACUUGGAGAUGUGGAAGAAUUGAAUAAGCAAUCUAUCUUUGAUGCUUAUUGGGAUACAAUUUAAAGCGAAAAUGUGGUUGACUGUACAACUAUUUCUUCCAUUGAUAAGGUUUUUAGCAUAGUUGAUUUGUUCUCAAGCUGAAAUUUGAAGGCUCAAAAUUAAGGGGAUUUUUUUUUAUAUUUUGUGCUUGGUAUCAGUUUUGAUUAUAUUGUU